ACUUGUGCUUCAAUUGGCUUAGUC
This 24-nucleotide non-coding RNA is filed under the name Arabidopsis thaliana (thale cress). The record is from RNAcentral. Lineage: Eukaryota; Viridiplantae; Streptophyta; Magnoliopsida; Brassicales; Brassicaceae.